This 433-nucleotide ribosomal RNA is filed under the name uncultured bacterium. Its description in RNAcentral is "partial 16S ribosomal RNA". It matches the Rfam family "Bacterial small subunit ribosomal RNA", at positions 29 to 507 of the family's 1533-position model. The record is from RNAcentral.
AACGAACGCUGGCGGCAUGCCUAACACAUGCAAGUCGAACGAGACCUUCGGGUCUAGUGGCGCACGGGUGCGUAACGCGUGGGAACCUGCCCUUAGGUUCGGAAUAACUCCCCGAAAGGGGUGCUAAUACCGGAUAAUGUCUUCGGACCAAAGAUUUAUCGCCUUUGGAUGGGCCCGCGUUGGAUUAGCUAGUUGGUAGGGUAAAAGCCUACCAAGGCGACGAUCCAUAGCUGGUCUGAGAGGAUGAUCAGCCACACUGGGACUGAGACACGGCCCAGACUCCUACGGGAGGCAGGCGGGGGGGAUAUUGGAAAAUGGGCGAAAGCCUGAUCCAGCAAAGCCGCGGGAGUGAUGGAGGGCUUAGGGUUGUAAAGCUCUUUUACCCGGGAUGAUAAUGACAGUACCGGGAGAAUAAGCUCCGGCUAACUCCGUG